ACUACCAAUUGUUCGCCAAACCACUACGAGUAAUACUUAAAACUUAAAAGACUUGACGGUACUUCACCCCACCUAGAGGAGCCUGUCCAAUAACCGACAACCCACGAUUAACCCAACCACUUCUAGCCCAACAGUCUAUAUACCGCCGUCGCCAGCUUACCUUGUAAAAGAAAUAAAGUGAGCUAAACAGUAACACACUAAAACGACAGGUCGAGGUGUAACUCAUGAAGUGGGCCAAGAUGGGCUACAUUCUCCAACAGAGCACACGAACAACACUCUGAUAUUAGCGUUUGAAGGCGGAUUUAGCAGUAAGAUAAGAAUAAAAUACUUAACUGAACAUAAUGCAAUGAAGUGCGCACACACCGCCCGUCACCCCUGCCACCAC
RNAcentral lists this ribosomal RNA (385 nucleotides) under Trimeresurus kanburiensis (Kanburi pit viper). Its description in RNAcentral is "partial 12S ribosomal RNA". The record is from RNAcentral. Lineage: Eukaryota; Metazoa; Chordata; Lepidosauria; Squamata; Viperidae.